GUGCGAGUCGAACGGAUCCUUCGGGAUUAGUGGCGGACGGGUGAGUAACACGUGGGAACGUGCCCUUUGGUUCGGAACAACUCAGGGAAACUUGAGCUAAUACCGGAUAAGCCUUUCGAGGGAAAGAUUUAUCGCCAUUGGAGCGGCCCGCGUAGGAUUAGCUAGUUGGUGAGGUAAAAGCUCACCAAGGCGACGAUCCUUAGCUGGUCUGAGAGGAUGAUCAGCCACAUUGGGACUGAGACACGGCCCAAACUCCUACGGGAGGCAGCAGUGGGGAAUCUUGCGCAAUGGGCGAAAGCCUGACGCAGCCAUGCCGCGUGAAUGAUGAAGGUCUUAGGAUUGUAAAAUUCUUUCACCGGGGACGAUAAUGACGGUACCCGGAGAAGAAGCCCCGGCUAACUUCUUGCCAGCAGCCGCGGUAAUACGAAGGGGGCUAGCGUUGCUCGGAAUUACUGGGCGUAAAGGGAGCGUAGGCGGAUAGUUUAGUCAGAGGUGAAAGCCCAGGGCUCAACCUUGGAAUUGCCUUUGAUACUGGCUAUCUUGAGUACGGAAGAGGUAUGUGGAACUCCGAGUGUAGAGGUGAAAUUCGUAGAUAUUCGGAAGAACACCAGUGGCGAAGGCGACAUACU
RNAcentral lists this ribosomal RNA (629 nucleotides) under Caulobacter sp. YP3. RNAcentral's name for it is "bacterial SSU rRNA". It matches the Rfam family "Bacterial small subunit ribosomal RNA", at positions 55 to 730 of the family's 1533-position model. Lineage: Bacteria; Pseudomonadati; Pseudomonadota; Alphaproteobacteria; Caulobacterales; Caulobacteraceae. The record is from RNAcentral.